GACGAACGCUGGCGGCGUGCCUAACACAUGCAAGUCAACUUGACUGAAGGAGCAAUCUGACAGUAGAGUGGCGCAAGGGUGCGUAACGCGUAAGUAACUUGCCCAAGGUAAGGAAUAACGUCGAGAAAUCGGCGCUAAUACCUCAUAAUGCAGCGGAUCCGCAUGGAUAUGUUGUUAAAGGUUUACCGCCUUGGGAUAGGCUUGCGUCUGAUUAGUUAGUUGGUGUGGUAACGGCACACCAAGGCUACGAUCAGUAACUGGUCUGAGAGGAUGAUCAGUCACACUGGAACUGAGACACGGUCCAGACUCCUACGGGAGGCAGCAGUGAGGAAUAUUGGGCAAUGCUCGAAAGAGUGACCCAGCAACGCCGCGUGGAGGAUGAAGGUAUUCUAUAUCGUAAACUCCUGUGAGAGCAGACGAAAGACAGAUUAUUAAUCUGGAUGACUGUAUGCUCAGA
Molecule: ribosomal RNA, 457 nt
Filed under: uncultured bacterium
Lineage: Bacteria
Description: bacterial SSU rRNA
Rfam family: Bacterial small subunit ribosomal RNA
Source: RNAcentral